RNAcentral lists this long non-coding RNA (2122 nucleotides) under Ooceraea biroi (clonal raider ant). RNAcentral describes it as "uncharacterized LOC113562346". Lineage: Eukaryota; Metazoa; Arthropoda; Insecta; Hymenoptera; Formicidae. The record is from RNAcentral.
AUCCUCGAGAGAUGAAAUAAUGGGAAAAAACUAUCUAGUUACACGUUCGACAAUUAAGGUGCCUUUUCAUGCAGCGAAUAAUUCGUGAGCGUCACAUCUGUAUGGUUGCGUGUCAACAAUAGAAAAUCUUGAAAUCUUUGUAAUGGACGACGAGUCGGUUAUAAACUGGACUUGGUAUAACCACCAAUUGCAGUGGUUAUUGCAUAUGUGCAAUAUGUACAAUAAGCAAAUUAUUAUUAUAUUGUACAGAAAAGAAAAGCUGCUGCAGUUGCAGCUACACUUUUACAUUUGAGAAAAAGUGGAAAAAAAAGAUAUUGUAAAAAGAAAUAUUGGAUAGCACCCAUUUUUCAAGAAAGGAAAGUGCAUGGAUUCUUUCAUGCUGUGCUACCUAAACUCGUUUUAGAAGAUUUGAGAUUUAAUAAUUACAUACGCAUGUCUGCAACUCAAUUUGAAAAGUUAACAUUCUUAGUUCGAGCAGACAUAUUCGCUCCUUGCGAAUAUUCGCUACAAGCUGAAACUUUUCAGCGAACAGCGAUUACUCGCUAGCGAACAGCGAAUGAUCACGUGACCUUCAUUCGCGGCGAUUAUUUCGCUGUAUGAAACGGCACCUUCAUGGUAUACCAUGGAAACACUGCUAGAUAUCACCACGGCCUCAUGUUAAAAUCGAGGUAGUAGUACGACUCGACGGCAAAACGUUCGCAACUCUAUUUUCACCAAUUUUCAACAAUUUUCGAUAAAUAGUAUUGUUCAACGACGAGAUGGACUUUCGAAUACAACUCAACAGCGACUCGAGAAAGCUUAUUAUAUAAUAUAUAAUUAUAAAUAUUAUAACAAUAUUAGAAAGUUAUGAAAUAUAAAAGUGAUUAAAAUGUUCAAUAAAUGAAACAAAUUUUUCAUUAGUACGAAAAAUUAGUAUUAAAAGUAAGUUUUUUUAAUUUAUCCCACCAACCAAACCGCUCACAAAGAGUCCUGGGACUAACAGGCGCAUUACGUCAGGACUCUCCACCGGUUCCACGCUCCCGGCUAAAAGGAGUGAUUUUGUACGACCUACGUCCCCCUGUGGGCUACGUCCCCUGCCCCCAGGAGGUUCGGCCACCCCCCACCCGGACUGCGCUCGUGCAAAAUGCCGUGCAUCCCUGUCGAGACCGGGCAGAAUGCCCCACGGAUGGGUCAUGCUGCCGAGUCGGUGACACUAAAACCGCAUCCGAGGAUGGAAGGGUAGGAGACCCGCGGGUCAGCGCCCCGUGGAAGGAAGGGUAGGGAGCCCGCGGGUCCGAGAGCCUCGGCGGGAGGAAGGGAAGGGAAGGGUAGGAGGCUCGCGGGUCCGAGAGCCCCGACGGGAGGAAGGGAAGGGAAGGAGGCCCGCAGGCAACGCCCUAGCGGGGGGAGAAGGUUAAGGAGUCCAGCAGGCAACGCCCUACCGGGGGGUAGGGAAGGGAAGGGUAAGGAGUCCCGCAGGUACCGCCCUAGCGGGAGGAAGGGAAGGGAAGGGUAAGGAGUCCCGCAGGUACCGCCCUAGCGGGAGGAAGGGAAGGGAAGGGUAAGGAGUCCCGCAGGUACCGCCCUAGCGGGAGGAAGGGAAGGGAAGGGUAAGGAGUCCCGCAGGUACCGCCCUAGCGGGGGGAAGGGAAGGGAAGGGUAAGGAGUCCCGCAGGUACCGCCCUAGCGGGUGGAAGGGAAGGGAAGGGUAAGGAGUCCCGCAGGUACCGCCCUAGCGGGGGGAAGGGAAGGGAAGGGUAAGGAGUCCCGCAGGUACCGCCCUAGCGGGAGGAAGGGAAGGGAAGGGUAAGGAGUCCCGCAGGUACCGCCCUAGCGGGGGGAAGGGAAGGGAAGGGUAAGGAGUCCCGCAGGCAACGCCCUAGCGGGGGGGUAGGAGUCCCACAGGGAGAGCCCUGGAAGGACGGGUGGACUGCAGUCGGAAGCGCCCGACUCCGAGGGAAGGGAAGAAUGAAGACAGACUACAUACAAAAACACAUACCAAAAAGCAAAAAGAACAAAAUUACAAUACAUAUUAUAUUAACAAGUAAUAACAGAAAUAAGAUAAAAGUGUACGCAAGUGUAAUAAAGCCAGUAAGCACAGAUACAAUACACACAAAUAUAAUAAAAGCCAAUAAGCAAAAAA